This 223-nucleotide long non-coding RNA is filed under the name Ananas comosus (pineapple). RNAcentral describes it as "long non-coding RNA (ACOM_LNC029593)". Lineage: Eukaryota; Viridiplantae; Streptophyta; Magnoliopsida; Poales; Bromeliaceae. The record is from RNAcentral.
UAUAUACCACCACCAAAAUAAUAACACAUAUGCUAUAUUUAUAGUUUACAUCAAAAGCUACCCAAAUCCUGGUCAAAUUAGAUUUCUACUCUAAUCAAUAUUUAGAUCUUAAUUUAUUUUCAACAGAUUUAAAUAUUAAUCCUAAUCAACUAGGAAUUCAACUAUAAAUCUAACAUGCUACGCAUAUUUUACCUAUACCACAAGGUUCUCAUUUCACUUUCAU